This 988-nucleotide long non-coding RNA is filed under the name Citrus x clementina. RNAcentral describes it as "Citrus clementina (C. clementina) long non-coding RNA (CCLE_LNC005328)". Lineage: Eukaryota; Viridiplantae; Streptophyta; Magnoliopsida; Sapindales; Rutaceae. The record is from RNAcentral.
ACUAAGCCAAUAAAUAAAAUAAUAAUAAUUAUAUUUUUUCCUGACAUUUCAGAAAACAAGGGGGAUUGCAAUGAAAAUAACCUAAAUAAAUACACUCUGCCGUUGGAUUUGCUAUUACCAUUCUUAUCUUGGAUCCAAUGGUUAAAUUACAAAACGACAAAAAAAGUGAUAUGUUGCAACUGUUGCAACAUAGGCGGACCCCAUUUUCCUUCUUGUUAUUAUUUUUCAUUUUUCACAACUGUCUUUGUUGGACCAUUCAUCUUUCUUUUUUAUUUUAACGGCUUCGAGUUUUUGACAAUUUCUGUUCAGAGUUGCCUGCGUACGCGCCCGUCGCUCCACAGCGCGUGAAUGCCAUUUCCUCCCUUGUUUUUGUUUUUGUUUUUGUUUUUUUUCCAUUUUCACGUCAAUAUUCAAAGAUGUCAACCACUAAUUAUGGAUAAAUUUAUAUUAAAGGUUAAUUUUUGAGCAGUGACAUCCAAAUUUUUAUCUGAACUGUUAUGUUUUUAUUGAAUGAUGAAUUUAUAAUUAGUAAAAUUAUAAUUAGAUUAUCCAAUGAAUAAAUAUUACAUUUAGAUAAAAAAAAAUUGAGGAAUGGGGAUAAAUAAGUAUAAUUGUCAUUUAACAAAACUGAUAGGGGUAGAAAAGUCAGUUGAUUAUUGGUAUCUAGCUGCUUGCUUUCCCAAAAGGAUAUUUAAAUUAUUUUUUUAUGCUAAUUGGUUCAUUUUUCUGGCGGUGAUACAAGAGGUUUAGAAUUUGAAUUCCAUUUCUCUUUCUUUUGGAAUAAUUGUUAUCAUUCGUCUUGUUUAUUAAAAAAAAAUUAUUUAUAAACACAGCGGAUCCAAAUAAGAAAUUGACUUAUUCAUAAUAGUUGAAAUAUUUAAAAACAACUUUAAAGAUAUAAAAAAAUAAUAUAUUGUAUGAUUAUAAUCACGGCUCACACGAAUAAUUUUCAUUAAAUACAAUUGAAUUUUUUUUUUAAUUUUAUAUA